This 767-nucleotide long non-coding RNA is filed under the name Ornithorhynchus anatinus (platypus). RNAcentral's name for it is "lncRNA (ENSOANG00000036233.1)". Lineage: Eukaryota; Metazoa; Chordata; Mammalia; Monotremata; Ornithorhynchidae. The record is from RNAcentral.
CUCAUCCGCGCCCCGGCCUCCGCCGCCCGCCCGCCCCCACCCGGAUCGCCUUCCCCCUCCCCCGCAGGUUCCGACGUCUGGACUCCCGCGGAGAAGCAGCUGUUUAGAAAGGCCUUCUACGCCCACAGGAAGGAUUUCUACCUGGUGCAGAAGGUGGUGAAGACGAAGAACGUCGCCCAGUGUGUCGAGUAUUAUUACAUCUGGAAGAGGAUGAUGAGGUUCGACUCCGGCAGAGCGUCGGGGAGGGAAACCGGGGUCAAGAAGGAACGGGACGAGGGAGAGAGGACGGCCAGAAAGAUCCAGGCCAGAAGCGGCUUCCGGCCGGCGCCCGAGCCCACCCGGGCCAGGGGCGGCAAGAGAGACAGAAGCUCCCGGCCCACCCCCUCCGCGGCCCAGCCGGGGGGCCGCCCACCGACCGCCCGGGGCCUUCCCGUGCCGCGAGUGCGACAGGUAAGAAUGACGACGGUCUUUAAGCGCCUUCUCCGUGCCGGGCACCCCGCCGGAUGCCGGAGGCCGCCCCGGUCCCCGCUAACGAUAGCAGUGGCAGUCGCAGCGGCGUCCGGGCGGCGCUCGGUACCACGGCGAUGGCGUCCGUUAAGCGCUCACCUCGUGCCGAGCGCCGCUCUUCGCGCCGGGGGCGGGGGGGGGGGGGGUGUCGGACGCGGUCCCAGCCCCGCGCGGGGUCUUCGUCCCGUCUUCCGGGCGAGGCGAAUGAGGCCCGGAGAAGCGAAGCGACUCGCCCGGGGUCACGCGGCGGACCGGGGCGG